GGAAUAUUGGACAAUGGCUGCAAAGCUGAUCCAGCCAUCCCGCGUGAAGGCAGAAGGUCCUAUGGAUUGUAAACUUCUUUUCUCUGGGAAGAAAAUGUCCCGUUCUCGGGAAGCUGACGGUACCAAAGGAAUAAGCACCAGCUAACUCCGGUCCAGCAGCCGCGGUAAUACGGAGGGUGCAAGCGUUCUCCGGAUUCACUGGGUUUAAAGGGUGCGUAGGCGGAUUCAUAAGUCAGUGGUGAAAGCCCGGGGCUCAACUCCGGAACUGCCGUUGAUACUGUGAGUCUCGAGUACAGUUGAGGUAGGCGGAAUACAUCAUGUAGAGGUGAAAUUCUUAGAUAUGAUGUAGAACACCGAUUGCGAAGGCAGCUCGCUAAAUUGUAACUGACGCUGAGGCACGAAAGCGUGGGGAUCAAAC
RNAcentral lists this ribosomal RNA (418 nucleotides) under uncultured bacterium. RNAcentral's name for it is "bacterial SSU rRNA". It matches the Rfam family "Bacterial small subunit ribosomal RNA", at positions 358 to 773 of the family's 1533-position model. The record is from RNAcentral.